GGGUGCGUAGGCGGUACGGUAAGUCUGUAGUAAAAGGCGGCAGCUCAACUGUCGUAGGCUAUGGAAACUGUCGAACUAGAGUGCAGAAGAGGGCGAUGGAACUCCAUGUGUAGCGGUAAAAUGCGUAGAUAUAUGGAAGAACACCAGUGGCGAAGGCGGUCGCCUGGUCUGUAACUGACGCUGAAGCACGAAAGCGUGGGGAGCAAAUAGGAUUAGAUACCCUAGUAGUCCACGCCGUAAACGAUGAGAACUAAGUGUUGGGGGAAUAACUCAGUGCUGCAGUUAACGCAAUAAGUUCUCCGCCUGGGGAGUAUGCACGCAAGUGUGAAACUCAAAGGAAUUGACGGGGGCCCGCACAAGCGGUGGAGUAUGUGGUUUAAUUCGAAGCAACGCGAAGAACCUUACCAGGCCUUGACAUCCCCGGCGAAGACAUGGAGACAUGUCGGAGGUUAACCGGGAGACAGGUGGUGCAUGGUUGUCGUCAGCUCGUGUCGUGAGAUGUUGGGUUAAGUCCCGCAACGAGCGCAACCCUUGUGAUAUGUUACUAACAGUAAGAUGAGGACUCAUAUCAGACUGCCGGUGACAAACCGGAGGAAGGUGGGGAUGACGUCAAAUCAUCAUGCCCCUUAUGGCCUGGGCUACACACGUACUACAAUGGCGGCUACAAAGAGCGGCGAACCCGCGAGGGGGAGCGAAUCUCAUAAAGGUCGUCUCAGUUCGGAUUGAAGUCUGCAACCCGACUUCAUGAAGUUGGAAUCGCUAGUAAUCGCGAAUCAGCAUGUCGCGGUGAAUACGUUCUCGGGCCUUGUACACACCGCCCGUCAAACCAUGGGAGUUGGUAAUACCCGAAGCCGGUGGCAUAACC
RNAcentral lists this ribosomal RNA (865 nucleotides) under Streptococcus sp. TATAC-27. Its description in RNAcentral is "bacterial SSU rRNA". It matches the Rfam family "Bacterial small subunit ribosomal RNA", at positions 565 to 1440 of the family's 1533-position model. Lineage: Bacteria; Bacillati; Bacillota; Bacilli; Lactobacillales; Streptococcaceae. The record is from RNAcentral.